Molecule: ribosomal RNA, 371 nt
Filed under: uncultured organism
Description: bacterial SSU rRNA
Rfam family: Bacterial small subunit ribosomal RNA
Source: RNAcentral
CGGGGGGGCAAGCGUUGUUCGGAAUUACUGGGCGUAAAGGGCGUGUAGGCGGCUCUUCAAGUCAGCCGUGAAAUCUCCGGGCUUAACCUGGAAGGGUCGGUUGAUACUGUCGAGCUAGAGUGUGGAAGAGGCAACUGGAAUUCCGUGUGUAGCGGUGAAAUGCGUAGAUAUACGGAGGAACACCUGCGGCGAAGGCGGGUUGCUGGGCCAACACUGACGCUGAAACGCGAAAGCUAGGGUAGCAAACGGGAUUAGAUACCCCGGUAGUCCUAGCCUUAAACGAUGCUGACUUGGUGUCCCGGGUCUUAAGUCCCGGGGUGCUGGAGCUAACGCGUUAAGUCAGCCGCCUGGGGAGUACGGUCGCAAGGCUG